GCCAAAAUAGCAUUCACCUGCAUAUACAUCUGCGCCUCCUUUCCUAAUCUUGCUUCUAAUUUCAAUUCGUAUGAGUGAAGAAAUCUAAAAGAGAAGAGAGUUAACAGCAAGAAGGUGCAGGUGUAAAUGCAGAUAAAGGCAACAUCUUGGC
This 151-nucleotide microRNA precursor is filed under the name Olea europaea subsp. europaea. Lineage: Eukaryota; Viridiplantae; Streptophyta; Magnoliopsida; Lamiales; Oleaceae. The record is from RNAcentral.